Molecule: non-coding RNA, 86 nt
Organism: Epithele typhae
Lineage: Eukaryota; Fungi; Basidiomycota; Agaricomycetes; Polyporales; Epitheliaceae
Source: the annotation of a RefSeq genome assembly
UCUCUGGUAGUAUAUCGGUUAGUACACGCGCUUGUCAUUGCCCUCAGUGUCCGCGCGAAAGCGGGGUUCGACUCCCCGCCAGAGAG